RNAcentral lists this unclassified non-coding RNA (250 nucleotides) under plant metagenome. Its description in RNAcentral is "partial contains small subunit ribosomal RNA, internal transcribed spacer 1, and 5.8S ribosomal RNA". The record is from RNAcentral.
GUAGGUGAACCUGCUGCGGAAGGAUCAUUAACACGUAUCCAAACGUAAAACCCCCCGUGAAUGUUAAACGCUGCUCUCCAUGCGCCUGGGGAUAUUUCAUUGUGAGGAGGCUGGCUGGCGGCCGGUUCUCGGCUUCAGUGCGGGCCCACCCGAUGGAUGCGGCUCCCCCGCCUAAACGAGCGGUUCGCAAGGAUCCCCUGUUCCUUUGUCUAUCAGCGGCAAGGUGAUAGUGGGCUGUCUGAUCGUAUCA